This 21-nucleotide microRNA is filed under the name Prunus persica (peach). RNAcentral's name for it is "ppe-miR398a-5p". Its record names the gene ppe-miR398a-5p. The record is from miRBase by way of RNAcentral. Lineage: Eukaryota; Viridiplantae; Streptophyta; Magnoliopsida; Rosales; Rosaceae.
GGAGCGACCUGGGAUCACAUG